RNAcentral lists this long non-coding RNA (1163 nucleotides) under Nicotiana benthamiana. RNAcentral describes it as "long non-coding RNA (NBEN_LNC015990)". The record is from RNAcentral. Lineage: Eukaryota; Viridiplantae; Streptophyta; Magnoliopsida; Solanales; Solanaceae.
CACUACCCUAAAACCCAAAACUAAACUAGACCUAUACAUAUUACCCUAAUGUUCAGCCGGCACUACACUUGGAGAUGAACAAAAAACUUAGACAAUAAAAUGAGACCUAGCCUGGACCUCUGUUCUUCUUCUUCUUCGUGGAGGAAGCAACAAACAACCUUAGACUCCUAGAAGAAAAGGAGACCCCUUCCCAUCCAAAAAAAAAAAAAAGAAAAAUGACAAAACCAGCAACUUCCCACUGCCCAAAAUAGUUCGCCGGAACCAUACAGUACCGUCGUCCAGCGACCAGCCCUCACCUUUCCGUCGACCAUCAAGCCGCCACGAGCACCUCCUUCAACCACUCGUCUUCCUCACGUUGCUGCCCGCCACCAGCUUUGUCGUCCAGUCCGUCCAUCUGAGCAGCAACAUCCACCAUUUCCGUUCAGCUUGAGCAGCAACGUCAACUAUCCACCGUUGCUGCUUCACCCUUCCUCCUCACGUGAACCAGCCCAAAAAAUAGCUGUAAAAAUGGUCCAAAACGCUGCUAUUUCCAGCUCAUAAACUAGCCCCUUUUGCCCAUGGAAUUGUUGAGUUGUCCCACAUCGGAGGGAUUUGAGAUCCUUGGUCUCCUUAUAUGGCUUGGGCGCCUUCACCCAAAAAGUUCAACUCCGAUCGAAAUGGGACUCAGGCUAUGUGCCUUCGACUUCAAAUAUUACAAAAGUUCAACUACGGUUGAACGACAAUUCAGGUUACACGCCUUCAAAAAUUACAAAAGUUCAACUACGGUUGAUCGACAACUUAGGUUAUGCGCCUUCAAAUAUUACAAAGAUUCUUAAAUAGCUCUAAAACAAUCUGGGCGCGAGGGGGGUGUUGAGUUGUCCCACAUCGGAGGGAUUUGAGGUCCUUGGUCUCCUUAUAUGGCUUGAGCAAUACUCACCUCAUAAGCUAGCUUUUGGGGUUGAGUUAGGCUCAAGGUCCAUUCUUUUCAUCAUGCUCAAAACUAGCUGUAGCAACACCAUAAGGCAACCUUUAAAUCAUCGUUGUUGUUCGAGUUCCAUUCGAGGUUGCCGAGCUCGGCGCGGUUUCGAUUCGGAAGCUUUUGCUCAUGUUCUAGCGUUGGACAUCGUCUUCUUCAUUCUAGUUCCUGUUGACGCUUUAAUCUGUCCAGUUGCUGUUCAUUAAAG